CCAUAUCAGUUGCAGGGACCCACUUUCCCAAAUCUACAAUUACAACUGCAUCUCUGCAAUUUUGGGGUAUUUGCUUAUCUGAAACAACUGCUCUGAUCAAUCUGAUUCAACAGUUCUAUUGAUUUGCUUCGUUAUUGUGCUUGACAUGGUUAAGAAGAAUUACCGGUAUUUGAUGGAUUUUGUGUUUUUGGAGUAGUAAAUGCUUAUCUUGUGGUCUUGAUCCUUAUACGUAGACUUAACUUUCCUUCUUUUUUUUUUU
RNAcentral lists this long non-coding RNA (259 nucleotides) under Amborella trichopoda. Its description in RNAcentral is "long non-coding RNA (ATRI_LNC003870)". Lineage: Eukaryota; Viridiplantae; Streptophyta; Magnoliopsida; Amborellales; Amborellaceae. The record is from RNAcentral.